ACGUGGUAUACCGCAUACAAAGAAAUGGAAAAGCACGAUGUAAAAUGAAAGUAGUACCUUUGGAGAGGCUCGCCCCAUUUGGUUCAAGAGGAUUUGUGCCUAAUCGGGACGAUUAGGCUUUAGUGGAGGGCAGUGUUACAAAAGUAGUAUUAAGUUAUAUUUGAAUUACUAUAUGCAUCCCUGAUUAUGAACAAUAGCUGUAGGUAUAUGGAAUAGCAUUUGUCUUGUUGUAAACAUCUGGCGCCACGGCUGUCUGCUCGUCGAAACAAUAGACAUCUGGCGCCGCACUGUCUGCUUGUCUAGGUAAACAAUUGCUGAGUGGCGCCGCGACUGUCUGCUUGCGUCUGGCGCCGUAUAGCCGUAUGUUCUGGUAAUUUCCAGACGCAAUAUUCUAGAAGGACACGUCGGCAUCAGCGAGAAGUGCGUGGCUAUAUAAGCCGUGGCAGCGCCAACGUAAUCAAUCAGUGCUAAGAGUAAACUGCUAUAGUGUAGACGAGUUGUGAAAUAAAGAGUUGUUGAAUUAAAUUAAACAGUGUUGAUUUUAUUUGUCAAUCCAGAGAUACGAACCUAACAAAGUAAACUAGCAAGAGUAAAUUCGUAACAAUACGUUAUUUUGCAUUUCAGGUGACGAUAUGUAGAAUGUUUCCUCCACUAAGGAAAUAAAUAUGUUAAUACAUUUCAAAACAUUUUGUAAUAAAUUUUGAUUAUUUAUUAAAGUAAAAUAUUCGUGUAUAACAAGAAUGAUAGAGAAAGAGAUUACGCAAUGCGCAUGUUUGCUUUCAGUCAGCUGUUCUUGCUGACGUCGCGGUUGACUUAUUAUUCGCCCGCGCUAUUGAAAGUGAAUUCGAAUUGUGUUUUCAAGUGUUGUAUUAAUUGUUAAAUUCUAUAUUUUUAAAAUGCGUUGUGCAGUGUUCGGUUGUAAUAAUAACAAUGGUAAAAAUAGUGCUACGAAUUGGAUAUUUUUUCAUUUCCCUAAGGAUAAAGCCGCAUUAAAACAAUGGAUUCAUUUUUGUCGUCGGACGGACAAAAUAAACGUUGAAAAUGCGUGCGUUUGUGAAGUUCACUUCGCGCCAGAAGCUUUCGAAAGAAAUUUGCAGUUUGAAAUGGGUAAUUAUAGCAUUUUGAUAACAAUAAUUUUACUUUUAUAACCCAACACUCUUGCAGGUUUAAGUUCGCGGAAUCCAACGAAGUUGCUACCCAGCGCUAUUCCCACGGUAACCAUUGCUCCUGCAGAGGCUAAUAAACGGCAGAAAGGAUGGAGUUUGGAAACAGAAAUACAAAGGCUGAUAGUGAAUAGUGUUUUUAGCACUUUGAAUAAGUGCAAAAACGAGCAGUAGCAGAAAUUAAACGCCCCAAGAUUUCCAUUAAAACUGCGGAAUUCCAUAGAAAUAAUUUGGAGCAAAAACUUGGCUGCAUUUUUACCAACGGCCAGAUUGAAACAUUAAGGGAUGGAAACAAAUCACGCUAUAUUCAACGAGCCCAAAAGCGUACAAAUUUUUGAGGAGAAACAAAUUUCCUCUACCAGGUGUGCGCACUCUGCAAUGGUGGUAAAAAAAAAUUGACGUAGCUUCAGGUGUCAUAGAGCCGGUGAUGAAACUGUUGAAGGCAGCAACUGAGCUAACACAAGCGCAAAAUAUAUGUACAAUUACAUCCAAUUAUGUACAAAUUGCGUCCAGAAGCACAUAGAUUUACGUGAUUUUGUAAAUUGUAGUUCGAAAAUAAAAGAAUUAUUUUUCAGAGCUAGAAUGUAUUUUAGGAUUCGUUUCUUAAAUAAAAACAUAAUUGAACAUAUGUUUAGUAAAAAAAGAAAAUUAAAUAAAACAAUAAAUUGAUACUUGGUUACAAAAUAUUCAACCUUUUUAUUUACAUAAAUGUAUAUGGUUGAAACAAACACAGCAAAGAUUGUCUCUUUUUAAAUAAUACAAUGAAAAUUCAAUUAAAUGAAUAUAUAGGUAAAAGUUCACUAUAAAAUAUUCACUUAUAUUGAUAUCUUUUAUUAAUAUUCACUUAUAUUGACGUUAAAUUUUGAUGAUAUUCAUGAUUUUGUAUGCCUGCAAUACAAAAUUGCUUCUUAUUGCAAAGAAAAACAAACAACUGAAAAUCAGCUGAUUGUAAGUUGGUCAACCGUGACGUAGAUGCACAGAACGAACAAAAUUUGAACUCGUCAUUG
Bactrocera dorsalis (oriental fruit fly) is the source of this 2170-nucleotide long non-coding RNA. RefSeq lists it as uncharacterized. The transcript is spliced from 3 exons. NCBI's taxonomy places the organism in Eukaryota, Metazoa, Arthropoda, Insecta, Diptera, Tephritidae. The record is from RefSeq and is a predicted model, not a curated record.